Long non-coding RNA from Populus trichocarpa (black cottonwood), 871 nucleotides. RefSeq lists it as uncharacterized. The record is from RefSeq and is a predicted model, not a curated record. NCBI's taxonomy places the organism in Eukaryota, Viridiplantae, Streptophyta, Magnoliopsida, Malpighiales, Salicaceae. The transcript is spliced from 2 exons.
AUUAUUUCAUCUUUAAUUUAGAUAUAUUUUUUAGAUAAUAAAGAGGUACAAAAACAACCGUUACAAAACUCUACUCACCCAAUAAAAUUCAUUAUCACUAAUUUAAACUAUUUUAAUAUUCAGAAUAGAUAUAAACAAUUAUUUUCUUUAUCUCUCUCUCUCCUCUAUAAUAAAAGACAUAAAAAUAAGGGAAAUGAACUUUGUUGGAGAGUGCUGCAUCUAAUGCUCAAGAUCCUCCGGUGGGAUGUGCACAGUCCCCUUGAAUACAGAUCUACAGUUUAGCAAAGGAAAAUUUGAAGGCAUAGAACAGUAUGCUCGAAACAAGCGAAUUCAAGUUUGCAACUUUUGCAUGCUAGAGCUUCAUAGAUCCUCUCCAGUCAUGAAUAGCUUGGAUGUUGUGAUUCUGUGGAUAUCACCUGUAUUCUUGAUGCGCAUGCUCUUCUUUGGUAGCUUUUUGAUAAUUUUUAAAUUCGUUUCCAGAUUUAGGUUUAGAAAUUGACUUCACCCUGGCCAUCACGUUUAUUCUUCGGGCUGUAAAGCCAACCAAAUAACAGUGUCUGCGCCUUCCUCGAUCGUUGAGCUUUCCUGCGAAUCUGGAAUAUCGUAGUUAUUUGGUUGGCGGUUUACAGCCCAAAGAGUAGUUGACAUCAGAUGCAUUGUAUUUCGAUAGAGCUGAAGCUCCCAAGCACCUGAUGUUUUCUGCUACCAGAGGCUAUCAUUCAUCGAUCAACUACAUUGAGGCGGAUCUUCAUUCCAUGUCGAGAUUUUCUUCUUGAAUUGAUAUAACCAUAGCUGGACAGUUCAAUGCUUACAACGAGAUUCUGUUUUCAGAUUGGUUUCAAGUCAAAUUUGAAAAGGGAAGAUAACUUCA